RNAcentral lists this unclassified non-coding RNA (434 nucleotides) under soil metagenome. RNAcentral describes it as "partial contains 5.8S ribosomal RNA, internal transcribed spacer 2, and large subunit ribosomal RNA". The stretch from base 1 to 120 matches the Rfam family "5.8S ribosomal RNA", at positions 35 to 154 of the family's 154-position model. The record is from RNAcentral.
GAUGAAGAACGUAGUGAAAUGCGAUACGUAAUGUGAAUUGCAGAAUUCAGUGAAUCAUCGAAUCUUUGAACGCAUAUUGCGCUCUCUGGUAUUCCGGAGAGCAUGCUUGUUUGAGUAUCAGUAAACACCUCAACUUCCAUAUCUUUUUUGAAAUGGGAGUUGGACUUGAGUGAUCCCAACGCUUUUCCUCACCGAAAAGUGGCGGGUUACUUGAAAUGCAGGUGCAGCUGGACUUUUCUCUGAGCUUAUAAGCAUAUCUAUUUAGUCUGCCUAAAAAACAGAUUAUUACCUUUGCUGCAGCUAACAUAAAGGAGAUUAGUUCUUGUGCUGACUGAUGCAGGAUUCACAAAGACAGGCUUCGGCCGACUUUGUAAACUCGAUCUCAAAUCAAGUAAGACUACCCGCUGAACUUAAGCAUAUCAAUAAGCGGAGGA